UGGGAUGUAGCUCAGUGGUAGAGAGCUUGCUCAUUGUACAUGAGGCCCUGGGUUCCAUCACCAGCACCAA
Molecule: transfer RNA, 70 nt
Filed under: Marmota monax (woodchuck)
Lineage: Eukaryota; Metazoa; Chordata; Mammalia; Rodentia; Sciuridae
Description: tRNA.Asn
Source: RNAcentral